UACGUAGGGCGCAAGCGUUGUCCGGAAUUAUUGGGCGUAAAGAGCUCGUAGGCGGCUUGUCACGUCGGGUGUGAAAGCCCGGGGCUUAACCCCCGGGUUCUCAUUCGAUACGGGGCUAGCUAGAGUGUGGUAGGGGAGAUCGAAUUCCUGGUGUAGCGGUGAAAUGCGCAGAUAUCAGGAGGAACACCGGUGGCGAAGGCGGGUCUCUGGGCCAUACUGACGC
Molecule: ribosomal RNA, 223 nt
Filed under: uncultured bacterium
Lineage: Bacteria
Description: partial 16S ribosomal RNA
Rfam family: Bacterial small subunit ribosomal RNA
Source: RNAcentral